ACUGAGGAGAUGAAAAGAGAGACAACUUCAAUAAAGAGCUCAGCGGAGAAGAUGAACAAAGAGACAGCCUUGAAAAUAAAUAACUCAGCUGAGAAGAUGAAGAAAGAAACAUCAUUAAAUAGCUCAGCUGAGAAGAUGAGACAAGAGACAGCUGCAGAAAAUGGUUCAGCUGAAAAGAUGAAGAAAGAGACAGCCUUGACAGUAAAUAUCUCAGCUGAGAAGAUGAACAAAGAGACAGCCUUGACAAUAAAUAACUCAGCUGAGAAGAUGAACAAAGAGAUGGCCAGGACAGUGAAUAGCUCAGCUGAGAAGAUGAGACAAGAGACAGCUACAGUAAAUGGCUCGGCUGAGAAGAUGAAGAAAGAGACGGCCUUGACAGUAAAGAGCUCGAACGAGAAGGUGAAGAAAGAAACAGCCUUGACAGUAAAUAACUCGGCUGAGAAGGUUAAGAAAGAGAUCGCUUCAACAGUGAAUGGCUCAG
RNAcentral lists this long non-coding RNA (481 nucleotides) under Gossypium barbadense (sea-island cotton). Its description in RNAcentral is "long non-coding RNA (GBAR_LNC020475)". Lineage: Eukaryota; Viridiplantae; Streptophyta; Magnoliopsida; Malvales; Malvaceae. The record is from RNAcentral.